Molecule: long non-coding RNA, 453 nt
Organism: Portunus trituberculatus (swimming crab)
Lineage: Eukaryota; Metazoa; Arthropoda; Malacostraca; Decapoda; Portunidae
Exons: 2
Source: RefSeq, a predicted model, not a curated record
CACAUCGUAUGUAUUUGGUUAUAAGUAAUAUACCCAAUCAAAACUUAUUAUCCAAAUCAAGUAAAUCAAACUGAUUAAAACAACUUUUUGAAGUGAUAGCAGGGGCGAAUGUAGGGGGUGGGGGUUCAACCCUACCCCUCUCAGCAAAUCCUUUGAUGGAACAUUGGGGGUAAAAUACCACAUGAUUUUUGGCAAGGGGAAAUGUGUUAUUUCUGAGAGAGAGAGAGAGAGAGAGAGAGAGAGAGAGAGAGAGAGAGAGAGAAUAACGUGGUAGGCUUGUAGGUGGUGAAGUAGAAGAGGCUGGACACUGGAGUAUGGAGGAAUCAUCUAAAAUUUUUAAGGAAUGAGAGUCUGAACACCAGUGAGGAAGCUAAGUACUGUAUUAAGUAUGGGUAUGGGAUCAGGUAUAGAAAGUGAGUUUGUGUACAGAAAGAGAUUGAGAGAGCAAAAGUA